RNAcentral lists this unclassified non-coding RNA (616 nucleotides) under Myanmaranthus roseiflorus. Its description in RNAcentral is "Marantaceae sp. 1 TO-2021 partial miscellaneous RNA". The record is from RNAcentral. Lineage: Eukaryota; Viridiplantae; Streptophyta; Magnoliopsida; Zingiberales; Marantaceae.
CGUCGUCGGUCGCCCCAUUUGACUCCUCCUCUCGUCGUUCGACGGGUGGACUGCGGGCAUGGGCCGGUGCUGAUGGCGAAAUGAUCGUUCCAGCACAUGAGUGGUGUCGGGUCCUUGCGCGUCGGCGGGCCCCUGCUUCUGUGCAGCCGACCRCCGUCGCCUCCUCCGCUUCUUUCGUCGUCCCUCUCGGGUUCCUUGCGGCCACGUGCCCCACGAGUUGCCUGCGCGAUCUACCGGAUUUAACGUUGGAAAAAUUGAGAUCUUGCCCACCGGCAUCUCCGCUCACUCUCGGCCCCGCGGGGCAGUUGUGGCGGCCACGCUAGCGUUUCCCUCGAUGCUCGCUCGGAUGGUGGCGCGCCUUCGGGCCGUCGUCCCCGAGCGCGCCUUCGGUGGUUUCCGCGAGCGCUCUCGGACCCGGCAGAGCGAGGCGUUCUUUUCGGCUCGGAGGCUGCGGCCCUCCCUUGCUGCGAACGAACUCUUUCUAUCGGUUUGUCGCCCUCGGUUCGGACGACGCUCGGCAUCCUAUCGCGCCCGGCCCCCCGUCCCACGCCGCCGUCCCUACCCCCCGCUGUGGGCGGCGGACGGGUGCUGGGGGCGCGGCGCGUCGCGGUCGAUG